AUUGAGGAGGCCGGGACUUCAU
Molecule: microRNA, 22 nt
Filed under: Camellia sinensis
Lineage: Eukaryota; Viridiplantae; Streptophyta; Magnoliopsida; Ericales; Theaceae
Description: microRNA miR1846
Source: RNAcentral